Molecule: long non-coding RNA, 439 nt
Filed under: Anas platyrhynchos (mallard)
Lineage: Eukaryota; Metazoa; Chordata; Aves; Anseriformes; Anatidae
Description: lncRNA (ENSAPLG00020014710.1)
Source: RNAcentral
CUUCUACUAGUGUAUAUCUAGUGUUUUCAACUGGCUUCAAACCCCUAGGAUGACAUGCUCUGAACUGGUAGAUUGGACAUUCUUGAUGAAGUACAGCUGCUCUUUCAGAGGAGUCCCUUCUUUGAACAGAUAAUUUCAGUGACAAACUUUCAUUACGAAGUUGUAAUCCUCUCAUAGCCUGAUUCUGCCACUGGCCAUGAGCUGCUCUGGCCCUGGCUGUUACUGCUGUCAAGGGACUGCAAGCUGCUGCUGAUGCUGGAGCUGCCUCCUCCUCAUCCACUGCAACAGCCAUUUGCUCCUCAUGCCACCCCUUUAAGGGACAGAGCUGUCUGCAGUGCCCAGUCAGAAAGAAACUGAGAAUGGACAGUACCUCUUGUGAUCUAGUCCACUCCCUUCACGAGCAAGGUCAGCUACAGCUGGUUCCCUGCAGGCUUCUCAG